Molecule: long non-coding RNA, 2717 nt
Organism: Cynoglossus semilaevis (tongue sole)
Lineage: Eukaryota; Metazoa; Chordata; Actinopteri; Pleuronectiformes; Cynoglossidae
Exons: 3
Source: RefSeq, a predicted model, not a curated record
UUUUACAUUGUUGGUAAAAAACUAUUUUUAGACACAAGUUAUUUUAAGUUUCUUGUUUAUUUUAUUUAUUUAAAAAAAAACUCUCUACACGUUCUAAAAACAAGGGCAAAAAUAAUUAUACCAUUCAGAUUGGAGACAAACACAGACGUCAUGAUGACGUCUUCAUCAUUCAUGGUCAUCGUCUUCCUCCCUCCAACUUAACUGCCCCACGAGGGCGCUGUUUCGCUGUGUGCGACGUCACAAAAUGCGACGAAACAGCCAGAAGAAAAAAACUUUAAACGGUCGCGGAGUGUGACGUAGCACGCCGAAAUGUUUGCCGCGUGCUUUAAAAGCCCUAGGUGAACGGGUUAUUCUGAAAUGGCGGCUCGACCUGGUCCGGAUAAACGGUUGGGACAGGAAGAUGCGCACGGAGACCAGGUCGAAGUUUUCUGGUGUAAAAGUUGUAAGAGUACUCUCCUGAAACUAAAGGCAAGAUUGGUCGUCCUGAAGAUCUUCAACACAGUAGGGAUCGUCGGUUUUCUUUUAUUCUGAGUGGCCGCCGUGCCCUGCUGUGUGUGAAACAUAGUUUGCAGUAAAGUUAGAAAAUGGCCGCCUGUCUUUUGUCCCUUUGGUUUUCUUUCUGGUUUUCUGGUUUUUGGAGCAGGAGCGUGGAACAGGUUGUUGGUUAGCUAGUCAGUGAAGUCUUACAGGUGGCUGGCUCUCUGUUCAUUGGUGGUUAGGGGAAGGUUUUUGUGACUCUGGUCCCAUUUUAAUGGUGUGGAACUGCUGAGCGUGUAGGUAAAAUGGUGGGUCUGAUUUCUGACCGUGGUGGUUCAGUGUUCAUAGUUUUAAGCUCAGCAGUUUGUAGUCAAUGAGUGUGAAUGAUGUUCUCUCGCUCAAUGUGUGCACUAACAAUUAUUGCUUUUUAGGUCCUGUCGACAAAGGGUGAGUCCAAAAUUUUAUUUUAUUUCCUCUUCCUGUCCUUUUUUAGGGUUAGGAUCAAAGAGCGCUUAUUAUUGAUCAAACAUAGGCGUUAUUUCUCUGUAAUAGAGCUUAAUCUAACUUAAUCAAAGAUGGCUGAACAAUGUGGUCUUUAAUAUUCCUAAGAAAUGUACCAAAAAAAAGGCCUAGUUGCUGUGCUAUAACUUUUUUUUUCAGCUUCUUCUGGAUGACGACAACAAAAUGGAGGAAACAAUCAAUUGCGAUUAGUUGCGCGCUUAAAAUGUAACACACAAGGUAGGUGACACUACGCCUGUUCUUUCCCAGCCGCCGUGCUGAUAUUACGCGCUAACAUGGCCUCUUGCCGUGACCUUCUUUUCCAGCUGCCGUGCUGCUCUUUAUUUCUACCGCUCUGUUUUGCCUCUGUUCUUUUCAUAAAAAUCUUGCGUCUAAAAAUGGCUAGUUGUCGGUCAAUGUUAAGUAGACUUAAUGACCACUGUUCAGUCUAAAAUAUGUGUAGUUAGAACAUUAUACACAAAGUGUAUGACAAUAUUCAGGAGACUAGCAGCAGAAUUUCUCCACUGUAUUCUUUCAAAUCUGUAUAGUCUGGAGUGUGUGUGUGUGGGACCAGGGCUGGACUAACAUGUAGUUUUUCACCUCUGAAGACAAAGGUUAGCUUAGUUGAACUGUGAGGAUUCCUUGUUUUGGCCACUGUGUCAAAAAGGCUGACCUCCAGUAAUGGGUUCAGUUUGUUGUAGCGCUUCCUCUUGGCUGACUUGCUUUUCCUGUCUCCUGUCCUUUAUUUCCCAGUGUGGCCAUUCACUAGUCUCAAACAUUUUUACCUUCAGUUUAGAUUUCACCGGCAAUUUCUAUAACGAAUAUAAUUUUGGACGUUGCGUUCGUUUUCAAGACUGCGUUCGUUUUCAAGACUGCGAUCGUUAUCAAGACUGCGUUCGUUUUCAAGAUGGCGUUCGUUUCCUGCGAUUUUUGGACGUGGCGUUCGAUUUUGAAAGUGUUCAACUUCAAGCGGUCAUUUCCUGCAAGUUUUGGAUAUGGUGGUCGUUUCCUACAGUUUUGGAUGUCCUGUUCCUGUUCCACUGCAAUUCCUGAUGUUUCGGUUGCUGUCAUUUCCUGGCUGUCUGUUUGCUGUCCAGAGGAACUACCAGAAUUCCAGCGCCAUCUAUCAACAUGGACAUCCAGCACCCUAAAAGUCCUAUGUAUUUCCUUGCCAUUGUACCUUUUGUUAAUGUAUAUUCAUGUAAAUGUGCUUGCCUGUUAUUGACAAUGUAUAGCCAUGUAAAGUUGGUCUACUGUUAUUGUCAAUGUAUAUUCAUGUAAACUUGCUUGCGUGUUAUUGUCAAUGUAUAUUUAUGUAAACUUGCUUGCCUGUUAUUGAUGAUGCAUAUCCAUGUAAAUUUGCUAGCCUGUUAUUAAUGAUGUAUAGUCAUGUAAAUUUGCUUGACUGUAAUUGUCAAUUUAUAUUGUCUUGGAGACUGAACUAUAUAUUCAAGUAGGAUGUUUUUGUACAAAUGCCAUUGUUGGACAACCAUACUACAACUUCGGUUGUGCUAUGUGACAGGUUUGUACACCACAUGCUACCACACUCUGUGCUUUAGUCUGUUUGCACUUGUCCACCUUUGGUGUUCCUUGUUUGCAUGACCCUCAAUGUGAUUACCCUUAUCUCAAUGUCGCAUGUUUCACUAGGUUGUCUGAGGUGGUCGAGAUCAAUAACAUAUGGGCUAAGUGGGUGUUUUAUGUAUUGUAUUGUAGUUAUUUAAAUUAUUGUUUUAUUAUAAUAC